GACGAACGCUGGCGGCGUGCCUAAUACAUGCAAGUCGAACGCACUCUCGUUUAGAUUGAAGGAGUUUGCUCCUGAUUGAUAAACAUUUGAGUGAGUGGCGGACGGGUGAGUAACACGUGGGUAACCUGCCCUAAAGUGGGGGAUAACAUUUGGAAACAGAUGCUAAUACCGCAUAAAACCUAACACCGCAUGGUGUAGGGUUGAAAGAUGGUUUCGGCUAUCACUUUAGGAUGGACCCGCGGUGCAUUAGUUAGUUGGUGAGGUAAAGGCUCACCAAGACCGUGAUGCAUAGCCGACCUGAGAGGGUAAUCGGCCACACUGGGACUGAGACACGGCCCAGACUCCUACGGGAGGCAGCAGUAGGGAAAUCUUCCACAAUGGACGAAAGUCUGAUGGAGCAACGCCGCGUGAGUGAAGAAGGUUUUCGGAUCGUAAAACUCUGUUAGUUGGAGAAGAAUGUAUCUGAUAGUAACUGAUCAGGUAGUGACGGUAUCCAACCA
This 500-nucleotide ribosomal RNA is filed under the name uncultured bacterium. RNAcentral describes it as "bacterial SSU rRNA". It matches the Rfam family "Bacterial small subunit ribosomal RNA", at positions 28 to 485 of the family's 1533-position model. The record is from RNAcentral.